CAAUAGAAAGCCCAUGAUAUUUUAUUAUUUAUUUAUUUAUUUAUUUUAAAGGGUCUUAAUCACUAUAAAAUAAAUAAAUAAUAAAUAAUAAGGGGGAAGAAGUAGAAGGGUCUUAAUCAUGCCCUCCACCUCUCACCAUGAUGCACGGACCUUCAGUUCGAUCUGACAAUUAUCCGAGGUGAGCCACCACCUCCAUGCCAGAUAUCAUCUUUGGUGAGAGGGAGGAUUUUCAUGCCGGAUGGUUGCCCUAUUUCCCCUCUAAGAUCCAUGCA
RNAcentral lists this long non-coding RNA (272 nucleotides) under Elaeis guineensis (African oil palm). RNAcentral's name for it is "long non-coding RNA (EGUI_LNC031697)". The record is from RNAcentral. Lineage: Eukaryota; Viridiplantae; Streptophyta; Magnoliopsida; Arecales; Arecaceae.